Molecule: ribosomal RNA, 301 nt
Filed under: uncultured bacterium
Lineage: Bacteria
Description: partial 16S ribosomal RNA
Rfam family: Bacterial small subunit ribosomal RNA
Source: RNAcentral
CAGUCGCCGCGGUAAUACGGAGGAUCCGAGCGUUAUCCGGAAUUAUUGGGUCUAAAGGGUGCGUAGGCGGAUAGAUAAGUCAGUGGUGAAAGACGGUGGCUCAACCAUCGCAGUGCCGUUGAUACUGUUUAUCUUGAAUAUGGAUGAGGUAGGCGGAAUGUGGCAAGUAGCGGUGAAAUGCAUAGAUAUGCCACAGAACACCGAUUGCGAAGGCAGCUUACCAAGGCAAAAUUGACGCUGAGGCACGAAAGCGUGGGGAUCGAACAGGAUUAGAUACCCCAGUAGUCCCUGUCUCUGAUAC